This 433-nucleotide ribosomal RNA is filed under the name uncultured bacterium. RNAcentral describes it as "partial 16S ribosomal RNA". It matches the Rfam family "Bacterial small subunit ribosomal RNA", at positions 29 to 507 of the family's 1533-position model. The record is from RNAcentral.
AACGAACGCUGGCGGCAUGCCUAACACAUGCAAGUCGAACGAGACCUUCGGGUCUAGUGGCGCACGGGUGCGUAACGCGUGGGAACCUGCCCUUAGGCUCGGAAUAACUCCCCGAAAGGGGUGCUAAUACCGGAUAAUGUCUUCGGACCAAAGAUUUAUCGCCUUUGGAUGGGCCCGCGUUGGAUUGGCUAGUGGGUAGGGUAAAAGCCUACCAAGGCGAGGAUCCAUAGCUGGUCUGAGAGGAUGAUCAGCCACACUGGGACUGAGACACGGCCCAGACUCCUACGGGAGGCAGCAGUGGGUAAUAUUGGACAAUGGGCGAAAGCCUGAUCCAGCAAUGCCGCGUGAGUGAUGAAGGCCUUAGGGUUGUAAAGCUCUUUUACCCGGGAUGAUAAUGACAGUACCGGGAGAAUAAGCACCGGCUAACUCCGUG